GCGCAGCUGAUGCAGCCAUGCCGCGUGAAGUGAUGAAGGCCUUCGGGUUGUAAAGCCCUUUUUUUGAGGAAGAAA
Molecule: ribosomal RNA, 75 nt
Filed under: uncultured bacterium
Lineage: Bacteria
Description: partial 16S ribosomal RNA
Source: RNAcentral